CCAAACCCUAGCGAGGGCGCGUCGCCAUGGACUCGGCGGUGCUCUCACUCACCUGCGCUGGCCUCGGCGUGCCCAAGGAGGACGACGACGGCACAGUCAUCAACUACGCCAAAAGCGAGCACUGCCUAGAUAAUCUGAAGGAUCUGCAGAGAUUCCUGCGGCGCGAUGACCCACAGCGGCGGUAGGUUUUCAAGCAAGUCCGCAAGUGGAAGAUUGCGUCGAGAGAUCUGGUGCCCAUCAUUGAGAAUUACCAGGCCAAUCGCAAUCUGGUGAUCACUGCAGGACGGAUCUAAAUCAUUGUGCAAAGGGAACCCCAGCUCCAUAUCUGCAAAUAGCCUCCGGAAAAUACGUAAUGUUCAAAGAGGUCCACAGGAAAGGAUAGCCUGGGAUAAUGAACUUCUCUACAUACCAAAGGAUGGUAUUACAGAAAUGCUAAGAAGCUUCUUGGAUCAAUUUUAUCUGGAGGAUACAACGUCAGUUUGUGAUGAUAUCAUGAAUGAGCAUCAUUCUAUCCAGAAAUCUACUAUAACUACAUUCCUCAAAGUUGCUCGCUUUGUGUUAGCUUUUCAACAUGAGAAGGCUUCAAAUGAUCAGG
Molecule: long non-coding RNA, 595 nt
Organism: Phragmites australis (common reed)
Lineage: Eukaryota; Viridiplantae; Streptophyta; Magnoliopsida; Poales; Poaceae
Exons: 4
Source: RefSeq, a predicted model, not a curated record